This is a non-coding RNA of Solanum lycopersicum (tomato), 1040 nucleotides long. The record is from RefSeq and is a predicted model, not a curated record. NCBI's taxonomy places the organism in Eukaryota, Viridiplantae, Streptophyta, Magnoliopsida, Solanales, Solanaceae.
CUUUCCCGCCAUUCAAUUUUUUCCCAAGCGGUGAACGCUUAAUUUAUAUAUAAAUAAAGUAGUACGGUCCUCUCAUUCUCUCAUCAUAUUCAUAAACUCUCAACUGCGUCAAUUCCAUUGCUAGGGUUCAAGAUUCCAGCACUCACUUCCAAUUCUUUAAAGUUAAAGAAGGAGAAGAAAACUCAUGAGGAUUUGUAUUAGUAACUGAAAUAUCAUGUUCUUGACCAUGGAAACUUGUAGUAUUCAUCUCGCAUUCAUUGUUAGGGUUCGACGCCACCAUCCCAAUAGUCGUCUUUGAAGUGGCAUUAUAAAUGGAGUUCCAGUUGAGGAUCUUCAUAAAUUGUUGGGUUCAGUUGAUUUUGGCAACACAUCUCACAAAUGUUUUUCAUAUUUCUUGAAAUUUAAAGAAUUGGAAGCUGUUUCUAAAUUGGACUCUCGCAUAGCACUUUGGGCAUAUGGUACAUGGGGGCUACUAUGUAUGUGGUGACUGGUUCUCUUAGUCAAAGGGUUCCACGCCACCAUGCCCAGAGUAGCUUCAAGAUCUUUUAAGUACCAUUAUGGUAGCGAUUGACAGAGUUCCAUGCCAUCACGGUCACAAAUACUCUCAGUUGAGGAUUUUUCUAAAUUGGUCGGUUUAGUUGAUUUCUUGAAGUUUAAAGAACAGGAUGGUAUUGGUUCUGUUACUUCUGUAGAUGUAGUCCCGCGAUCAUGUGAUUAUUUAGUUGUGAUCUGUUACUUUUGAUGGAAUUAUUUCAAAAUUGUGCAGGAACAAAGAUCAUGGUCACAAAAUUAUUAUAUGGCAAGGACAGAGUAAGUUUGUUAUGCGAUCACUGUACACGAAUAGACUAUGGUUUUAUUUAUUUGCAUAGGGUAGUUAUGAAGCUUGGAAUUGUUUCUUUAAUGAUGAAGAGAGUCAGCCAACUGUUGAAAUAAAAAUGUCCAUGUUGUUUAUGAGGUAGGAUAGAAAUGCUCUAAGUUGAUGAUGUGUAUUCACAAAAACUCAAAAGCUAUCAUAUUCGGCUGCGAUACUGUUUUUUUCA